RNAcentral lists this small nuclear RNA (19 nucleotides) under Arabidopsis thaliana (thale cress). RNAcentral describes it as "snRNA_13147". Lineage: Eukaryota; Viridiplantae; Streptophyta; Magnoliopsida; Brassicales; Brassicaceae. The record is from RNAcentral.
AAAGCUCAUCAUGGAGCAU